This 403-nucleotide ribosomal RNA is filed under the name uncultured prokaryote. Its description in RNAcentral is "bacterial SSU rRNA". It matches the Rfam family "Bacterial small subunit ribosomal RNA", at positions 355 to 776 of the family's 1533-position model. RNAcentral also lists the same sequence under 1 other name. The record is from RNAcentral.
UGGGGAAUAUUGGGCAAUGGGCGAAAGCCUGAUGCAGCAACGCCGCGUGAACGAUGAAGGUCUUCGGAUCGUAAAGUUCUGUCGCAGGGGAAGAUAAUGACGGUACCCUGUGAGGAAGCACCGGCUAACUACGUGCCAGCAGCCGCGGUAAUACGUAGGGGGCUAGCGUUAUCCGGAAUUACUGGGCGUAAAGGGUGCGUAGGUGGUGUCUUAAGUCAGAGGUGAAAGGCUACGGCUCAACCGUAGUAAGCCUUUGAAACUGGGAAACUUGAGUGCAGGAGAGGAGAGUGGAAUUCCUAGUGUAGCGGUGAAAUGCGUAGAUAUUAGGAGGAACACCAGUUGCGAAGGCGGCUCUCUGGACUGUAACUGACACUGAGGCACGAAAGCGUGGGGAGCAAACAGG